AAGUUAUAGACAGCUAUAAGACUGAAUUCAGUCAUUCUUAAAGUUUGACUUGUGAUUUUGUCUUUUCUGAUAGAUUUUGUAAUUUUACAUCGAGGAUCUUCAGGAGAAUUAAGCGAAACCCAAACUCCUUGUUCUCAACAAAGACCUUCUGUAUGGCCAAGAACAUGAAACUGCUCCCUCAAGAAGGUGAUGUAGUCCUGCAGCUGCUGCCAGUACUCCUCCCUGCUCCACCUUGCACAUUUGGGAGAAGAGUUUCAGACCAGUCAACCUGGAAGUUCAGAAGGCUUCAAUCUUUUGUAUGGCCAUGAAGAGAAAGCAGCAGCCAUCUUCUCAACAACAUGAAUUUUCUCCCUUUAAGACAGACAAGAUCAUGUAGCCCUGGAGCUGCUGCCAGUACUCCUCCCUGAUCCACCUUACAUAUUUGGGAGAAGAGUUUCAGACCCAUCAACCUGGAAGUUCAGAAGGUUUUAUUUUAUUUUACUAUACUUGUAUUUUACUGUGUGCAAAAAAAAAACAAUGGAUCAUGAUAUGCUACAAAAGAAUUCAAUCUGUAUUGAACAUUGACAUGUUGACAUGAGGCGUAAGUUAAGUACGAAGAGUUUCGUGCUUCUAUAUAUCGGUCAUUUCUCACAAUGAACUUGAA
Poecilia reticulata (guppy) is the source of this 643-nucleotide non-coding RNA. NCBI's taxonomy places the organism in Eukaryota, Metazoa, Chordata, Actinopteri, Cyprinodontiformes, Poeciliidae. The record is from RefSeq and is a predicted model, not a curated record.